GUCACUGUACGGUCUAGCGGUUAGAACGCUGGCCUUGUAAUCCUGGGGUCUCGGGUGCAAUUCCCGGCGGUGCCC
Non-coding RNA from Zootermopsis nevadensis, 75 nucleotides. Lineage: Eukaryota; Metazoa; Arthropoda; Insecta; Blattodea; Termopsidae. The record is from Rfam.